This is a non-coding RNA of Acanthosepion pharaonis, 108 nucleotides long. The record is from the annotation of a GenBank genome assembly. NCBI's taxonomy places the organism in Eukaryota, Metazoa, Mollusca, Cephalopoda, Sepiida, Sepiidae.
UACAACCAUAUCACUGCGAAACACCAGUUCUCGUGUGAUCAUUGAAGUUAAGCAACGUUGAGCCUGGUCAGUACCUGGAUGGGUGAUCGCUUGGGACUACCAAGUGUU